UACGUAGGUGGCGAGCGUUGUCCGGAAUCAUUGGGCGUAAAGCGCGCGUAGGCGGCCCAGUAAGUCCGUUGUAAAAGUCAAAGGCUCAACCUUUGAAAGCCGAUGGAUACUGCUGGGCUAGAGUCCGGAAGAGGCGAGUGGAAUUCCUGGUGUAGCGGUGGAAUGCGCAGAUAUCAGGAGGAACACCGAUAGCGAAGGCAGCUCGCUGGGACGGUACUGACGCUGAGGCGCGAAAGCCAGGGGAGCGAACGGG
This 253-nucleotide ribosomal RNA is filed under the name uncultured bacterium. Its description in RNAcentral is "partial 16S ribosomal RNA". It matches the Rfam family "Bacterial small subunit ribosomal RNA", at positions 524 to 776 of the family's 1533-position model. The record is from RNAcentral.